RNAcentral lists this long non-coding RNA (1676 nucleotides) under Nicotiana tabacum (common tobacco). RNAcentral's name for it is "long non-coding RNA (NTAB_LNC012179)". Lineage: Eukaryota; Viridiplantae; Streptophyta; Magnoliopsida; Solanales; Solanaceae. The record is from RNAcentral.
AUCUUAUCACAUCUCUAAUAAGCACACCCACAAAAACUAAAGGAAANGNAAAAAUAUUGCUUACAUAAAUAAAAUAAUGUAAAAAGAACAAAUUAAAGACGAAAAACUAAAAGGGGCAAAUAAACAAUAUACAUUAAGUAAAAUUAAGUCAUCUAAAUAUAUGAAUUAUAAGAAAAAAUAGAUGCCUUCCAGCGACCAUACUUAUCCUUUUGGGUGAAGAUACUCAAGUGAAGCAUAAUAUUGUAUUACAAGACGCUUUUACAAGUACCUUCUUCCAUGUUUGCUCCUCCAUAGAUGCAUCAACAAUGACAACACCCAUCACACCCCCUUAGCAGCGAAACUUAAAUGACAUAUGAUCACAACAAUUGUCGAUGAACAAUUGCUUAUCCAUAUUAUGGAUGCCUUCUCAUAUCACUAAAAAAAUAGAACCACCGGUCAAAACCAGAAAAUGUAAAUCUCAAUUUUUUGGAAUAGUUAUAAGAUGAUGAUUGGAAAUUUGUGGAACAUAAGACCUCUGUAACAGAACAAACUUAUAAAAUAGUAAGGAAAUUUAGUUUAUCGGGUCCUCUUUCGAUUUGGCUGCCGCAAAAUGACUCACAUGCAUUCUAAUAGAAAGCUUGAAGAAUUGGGAAAGAAAAGAUAAAUUGAAAUGUAGUUGGGAACUCUUGGAACCAAAUGGCAAAAGACAAACAGCUACGACUGCACCUAAAUUAGAACUCAUUUUCUUAUAGUACUAAAAGUUAGAAAUAGGGACCACUAUGAGGAAUAUGAAUGGAAUGAUCAGUUACAAUAAGGAGGAAUGUGAAAGGCUGGAAUAGUAACUGUUGAGACAUUUUUUACAAUGUUUUUUACAAUAAAGAAUAGAAAAGAGAGGAGUAGUAAUGAUUGAAUAAGAUAAAUAGAAAGUAAUAAGAAAAAAAGGAGAAAAAAGAUAAAUAGGAUCCUUGGUCAAGGAGAAGUGCCAACUCAUCUUUUAUUGUCCCAACUUUAUAUAGAUAUAUAAAUAUAAAUAUAGAUAUAAAUAUUUGGACUCUCGUAUAUCAGUUCAAGCAAAUAUUUGCAAUUUGAAGUUGAUCAAGAUUGUCAUAGAUACUCGUACUGAUUCUAUCACCGAAACUGGAUGAAAGUUCAUGAGAAUUUUGGUUAGCUUUAUAAAUUUGGCUAGUCAAUUUGUCCGUGCUUCAUAUGGUCUUUAAAAAAUAAAUAUGAACAAAAUUUAUUGUUAAAAUCUUUAUAAUUAAAAAAAAUACUUACUCUUUGUUCAAUAUUAUCUUCUCUAUAGUCUUCAAUCAUAUGCCAUAACUGUGAUCAAAUUAUAUUUUCAAGGUUGAUUGCUUUUUUCUACCAUCUUCAAGACUAGCUUUCUCUAUUUUUUUAUACACAUUAUUGAGCUAAUUUGAAGGUUUAAAUUAGAGGACUAAAUCUUAUUUUAUUGAUGAAAAUAAAAUUAAAUAAUUAAUUGAGAUAAUGUACCUAAAUGAACAUUAAAUGUCGACAUUGAUACCUUGUUGUCGACAUUCCCUACUUCCAGAUUGCUUGGAAUCGGUUGCGAGGUGCAUAGGUAAUAGGUUAUCGAGAUUGCCUGAAAAACCAAUGACUCAAACCUUGUCACUCUCCUUUUUCCGUGAUAUUCUUUCCUUUUUAUAUACAUCAGACGUUACUCUACACUAUAUAAC